Molecule: ribosomal RNA, 346 nt
Filed under: uncultured bacterium
Lineage: Bacteria
Description: partial 16S ribosomal RNA
Rfam family: Bacterial small subunit ribosomal RNA
Source: RNAcentral
CCUACGGGUGGCAGCAGUGGGGGAUAUUGCACAAUGGGGGAAACCCUGAUGCAGCGACGCCGCGUGUGGGAAGACGGUCCUCUGGAUUGUAAACCACUGUCCCCAGGGACGAAGAUGACGGGACCGGGGGAGGAAGCGCGGGCUAACUACGUGCCAGCAGCCGCGGUAAUACGUAGGGAGCGAGGGUGGUCCGGAAGUACGGGGUGUAAAGGGAGCGGAGGGGGGGAGGCAAGUUGGGGGUCCAACCUACCGGCUCACCUGGUAGUCGCACUCCAAACUGCAGCUCUUGAGUGCAGUAGAGGCAGGCGGCAUUCCUCGUGUAGCGGUGAAAUGCGUAGAUAUUAGG